This 433-nucleotide ribosomal RNA is filed under the name uncultured bacterium. RNAcentral describes it as "partial 16S ribosomal RNA". It matches the Rfam family "Bacterial small subunit ribosomal RNA", at positions 29 to 507 of the family's 1533-position model. The record is from RNAcentral.
AACGAACGCUGGCGGCAGGCUUAACACAUGCCAGUCGAACGGAUCCUUCGGGAUUAGUGGCAGACGGGUGAGUAACGCGUGGGAACGUACCCUUUGCUACGGAAUAACUCAGGGAAACUUGAGCUAAUACCGUAUGUGCCCUACGGGGGAAAGAUUUAUCGGCAAAGGAUCGGCCCGCGUUGGAUUAGCUAGUUGGUGGGGUAAUGGCCUACCAAGGCGACGAUCCAUAGCUGGUCUGAGAGGAUGAUCAGCCACACUGGGACUGAGACACGGCCCAGACUACUACGGGAGGCAGCAGUGGGGAAUAUUGGACAAUGGGCGCAAGCCUGAUCCAGCCAUGCCGCGUGAGUGAUGAAGGUCUUAGGAUUGUAAAGCUCUUUCACCGGUGAAGAUAAUGACGGUAGCCGGAGAAGAAGCCCCGGCUAACUUCGUG